UAUCCAGUUUUUUUGUCACCCAGAUUCCUUUUGGGCCCAAUUUUCUUUCACCAAGAAGGGUCGUUCUCUCUUCCCCUCUUUUUUUCUCUUCUCUUCGCAGCCGCACCGCAUCGCGUCGCAUCGCUUAUUCGAUUGCGUUGCCUCUCUUGCGCUUUCUCUUUUAAUAUCCAAUUUCAUCACCUUCAUCGCAUCGGUAAGCCUUUUCAAUCUCCCUAUCAAUCUUCAAAGCCUCUUCCUAAAUUUCUAGGGUUUCAAUUCUAAUCCUCUUUUUUCCUUCUAACUUUAUUUCAACUCAUAGUGUUUCUAUUUAGCCUUGUCUCGUGAUCUCCAAUCGCCUUCAGAUCUUUCACGAUUUCUUCUUUAGUUUUGAAAUUCCACGUAUUUGUUGUAUUUUGGGUUUAGGGUUCUAUAAAACAAAAAAGAAAAAAAGAAAAAAAAUACAAAGUCGUUCCGAAGGGGGAUUAGGGUUUUCCCUUGUGAUUCACGCAUUUAGGUAGCUAGAGAUAUAUGGCGGCUGGGAGACAUGGCGGUUACCGCGAAAACGACUUCAGAGAGCGCGAAUCGAAACUCGAAGGUUCUAGACGCGGGCUUGCCAAUUCGAAAGAGGAUUACGAUCGUGUUAGGAAUGGUGGCGGUGAUGUUGUGAGGGGAGGGUCCAGGGACAGGGUUAGGGUGAGGCAGAGGGAUAUUAAGGAGAGGGAAGGUGUUAAUGGUGGGUACCGAUCAUCUUCGAGUAGGAGUGACUCUGGCAGCAGUGGCCUUGGUCCUCGCCGAUGUGGUUUCUCUAUCAAAGCAAUGGAUAGAGAGCCUGGUGAGCUUUCCAGUGAGAGUGGUUCUGAUGAUGCAAUUGAGUCAGAAUCUAGGGCGAAAGACUCCGAGGUUUCCAUGUUGGAAGAAACAAGAACCCGAUCCCCACCGGUGCCGGACAGGAAAAGAAAAUUCUCGCCCAUAGUGUGGGAUCAGGAUGACAAAGAUGUCAGUGAGUCAUCCAGAGUUAGGGUUUCUGCCUCUACGGUGGUGACAGCAGCACUUCCUCCUCCGCCUCCAUUGCCAAAGGUAUUCCAUCAGUCACCGUCACCAAAUGCUCCAAAUGGUGUUGUACAAAUACAUCCUGUCAAGAACAAGGAGACCGAGGAUCUCCAGUUGAAUGCAGCAUCUAAGAUUACCUUGCCCUCUCCUUCUGGUUUGCAUUCAUCACCUCCGAAAGGGAGGUGGGGUAAUGAUCAGGAAACUGAUCAUCUAGAAGGUGAAGUUUAUGUUCCAGCUCGCAAUAUAUCGUCUUCAAGAUGGGCAGCUGGAGAUAACUCUCCUGGUGAUGAGGGUGAGAUCCUCAAUGAUGAGGAGAUGCCCAAACGAAGGAGGAAGGCGUCUCCUGAGUUCUUGGAUGGCAGACCAAGGAACAAGUUAUUGAGCCCUGUGGAAUCCAAGAUUGAAGGUAUUGAAGGAGCUAGAGCCAGAUCAUCUGAAUCUGAAGAAAGAGGUGUCCGUGGGAGAACUUCCAGCAGUGAUGAUCAUCCUGGUAUGGAGUCAGAGAAGGAUGACUUCAUGGAGGUUGACCCUCAGGGUGGGAAAAGUGAAACAAGUGUCAGUCACUCCGAAACGGAAUAUGAAGAUGAAGACGAUGGUAGGGAGACUCCAGAACCUCCUUCUCCACCCCAAAGAACUGUCAACAUGCUUCAGGGUUGUAGAAGUGUUGAUGAGUUUGAGAGACUUAACAAGAUAGAUGAAGGAACAUAUGGUGUUGUAUAUAGGGCUAGGGAUAAAAAGACCGGAGAAAUUGUAGCAUUGAAGAAGGUCAAGAUGGAGAAGGAAAAGGAGGGCUUCCCACUGACUUCUCUUAGGGAAAUAAAUAUUCUUCUUUCUUUUCACCACCCAUCCAUAGUUGAUGUUAAAGAAGUAGUGGUAGGAAGUAGCCUUGAUAGUAUUUUCAUGGUCAUGGAAUAUAUGGAGCAUGACCUUAAAGGACUAAUGGAAGCAAUGAAGCAACCUUUCAGCCAGAGUGAAGUGAAGUGCUUGAUGAUCCAGCUUUUAGAAGGUGUGAAGUAUCUUCAUGACAACUGGGUGCUUCAUAGGGAUUUAAAGACAUCAAAUCUGCUUUUAAAUAAUAGGGGUGAGCUCAAAAUUUGUGAUUUUGGCUUGGCCCGUCAGUAUGGGAGUCCUUUAAAGCCAUAUACACACCUGGUGGUUACUCUUUGGUACAGGGCACCUGAACUCCUUCUGGGGUCAAAACAGUAUUCAACAGCCAUAGACAUGUGGUCUCUAGGCUGUAUAAUGGCUGAGCUAUUAUCUAAGGAACCACUGUUUAAUGGGAGAACGGAGUUUGACCAACUUGACAAGAUUUUUCGGAUUCUAGGCACCCCUAAUGAAGCAAUAUGGCCUGGUUUCUCAAAAUUACCUGGGGUCAAGGUCAAUUUUGUCAAACACCAGUACAACCUCCUGCGGAAAAAAUUUCCUGCGACAUCAUUCACUGGAUCUCCUGUUCUUUCUGAUUCAGGAUUUGAUUUGUUGAACAAACUUCUAACAUAUGACCCUGAAAAGCGGAUCACUGCUGAAGCUGCUCUAAAUCAUGAGUGGUUUCGUGAGGUCCCUCUCCCCAAAAGUAAAGAAUUCAUGCCUACAUUUCCUGCUCAACACGCUCAGGACAGGCGUGUGCGGAGAAUAUACAAGAGUCCAGAUCCUUUAGAGGAGCAGCGCCGGAAGGAGUUGCAGCAGGGUGAAUCGGGGACUGGUGGAAUUUUUGGCUAAGAAUGGUGCUUGCUAAGGCUGUGUCUCAAUAAUCAUUCUGAAACUGCUGAAUGUUUUAGUGUUUGAGGUGAGGGUAUGCACUGAAUGGAAGUUGGAAGCAUGUUUGUUAGACGAUCACUCGUGCUGUUUUUUAACAGGAACAUUUUGGUUUAGCGAAGAUGUAUUCUUUUACCUCCCUGGCAACCAGAUUUAUUUCAGAGUUGGUUGGUGUGAAGUGCAAGAGGACCUUCUGUGCAUCUUUCCAAAGAAAUUGGGUGACGUUAUGCAUUAAAAGUAUCAAGUAUCAAAGCAAGCAGGUUGAGGAGGUUACCAGUAUAUCUUAAAGUAUAGAACUUCAAUUAGUUGUUCCUUCAGUCUCUCUAGAGCUGGGAGAUUGGGUUGCUAAGAGAUGUAAAGCAUCCACUUCCCAUUCAACACAAUUUAUUGGAUUUCAUCAUUGGAUAGCUAAUGCUGUAAGCAUAAGCUGUAUUUUGUUCUAUUUUAAUUGGUUGAAGGCAGGUUUUGGUAUGAAAUAUUAGGUUUGUGUUUAGUGUGGAUGGGUUUGUAUUUCAUAUGUUGCCAUGCCCACAAAUCAUUUUAUAUAUUGUGUAGAUCUUUUUUUAAAUAAGAUUUGGAUUAUGUCGAAGGAUUGGAAAAUGGAUUUGUGAAUUAACAGUUUUCGUGGAUCCUUGGUUGGAAUGGGAGUAAAGGUGGGGAAAAGCCCUGGAUUUCGUGGAUA
Non-coding RNA from Vigna umbellata (rice bean), 3463 nucleotides. The record is from RefSeq and is a predicted model, not a curated record. Lineage: Eukaryota; Viridiplantae; Streptophyta; Magnoliopsida; Fabales; Fabaceae.